GACGAACGCUGGCGGCGCGCUUAACACAUGCAAGUCGAGCGAGAACCAGACCUUCGGGUCUGGGGACAGCGGCGAACGGGUGAGUGACACGUGGGUAAUCAACCCUCGGUACUGGGAUAGCCCGGGGAAACCCGGAUUAAUACCGGAUGGCCCUUCGGAUCUUCGGUUCUGAAGGAAAAGGUAGCUUCGGCCUCCGACCGAGGACGAGCCCGCGGCGGAUUAGCUUGUUGGUGGGGUAACGGCCUACCAAGGCGGCGAUCCGUAGCUGGUCUGAGAGGACGAUCAGCCACACUGGGACUGGGACACGGCCCAGACUUCUACGGAAGGCAGCAGUGGGGAAUCUUGCGCUAAUGCGGGAAACCGUGACGCAGCGACGCCGCGUGAGGGAAGAAGGCCUUCGGGUUGUAAACCUCUUUCAGGAGGGACGAAGCUACUCGGGUUAAUAGCCCAGAGGGUGACGGUACCUUCAGAAGAAGCCCCGGCUAACUACGUGCCAGCCGCCGCCGUAA
RNAcentral lists this ribosomal RNA (509 nucleotides) under uncultured bacterium. RNAcentral describes it as "partial 16S ribosomal RNA". It matches the Rfam family "Bacterial small subunit ribosomal RNA", at positions 28 to 523 of the family's 1533-position model. The record is from RNAcentral.